UACAGAGGUCUCAAGCGUUGUUCGGAUUCAUUGGGCGUAAAGCGCGCGUAGGUGGCUUCGUAAGUCCGUUGUGAAAGUCAAAGGCUCAACCUUUGAAAGCCGAUGGAUACUGCGGAGCUAGAGUACGGAAGAGGCGAGUGGAAUUCCUGGUGUAGCGGUGGAAUGCGCAGAUAUCAGGAGGAACACCAAUAGCGAAGGCAGCUCGCUGGGACGUUACUGACACUGAGGCGCGAAAGCGUGGGGAGCGAACAGG
RNAcentral lists this ribosomal RNA (253 nucleotides) under uncultured bacterium. RNAcentral describes it as "partial 16S ribosomal RNA". It matches the Rfam family "Bacterial small subunit ribosomal RNA", at positions 524 to 776 of the family's 1533-position model. The record is from RNAcentral.